This 201-nucleotide long non-coding RNA is filed under the name Lathyrus oleraceus (garden pea). RNAcentral's name for it is "Pisum sativum (pea) long non-coding RNA (PSAT_LNC000261)". Lineage: Eukaryota; Viridiplantae; Streptophyta; Magnoliopsida; Fabales; Fabaceae. The record is from RNAcentral.
GUAAAUCUGACUUUGGAUGAAACACUUGAUAUCAAAAUACCACAACUUUUAUUUUUGAUCUCUGUAGCACCUCAAAUUUGCACCUUUCAUUGUACAUACAUUCUCAUAUUAGGUCAUAGCAUUAACAUGGUCCACUGCAUAACAUUGCAUUGUCCCUUUUGCCCAAGUGCAAGCCAUUCAGUCAGAUUAGGUCAAAUUGAU